RNAcentral lists this ribosomal RNA (1584 nucleotides) under Scarturus williamsi (William's jerboa). RNAcentral's name for it is "16S ribosomal RNA". It matches the Rfam family "Bacterial large subunit ribosomal RNA". The record is from RNAcentral. Lineage: Eukaryota; Metazoa; Chordata; Mammalia; Rodentia; Dipodidae.
GCUACUGCUAGCCCAACUCACUCUUAAUUAAACUAUAGAAUCAAAUUUUAAAUUAAAUCAUUUAAUCGCAUAUCAAAGUAUAGGAGAUAGAAAUGAUACACUGGCGCUAUAGAGAAAGUACCGUAAGGGAAAGAUGAAAGAAGAAAAGUAUAAGUAUAAAAAAGCAAAGAUUAACCCUUGUACCUUUUGCAUAAUGGAUCAACUAGAAUCAAUCUAGCAAAGAGAACUGGGUUAGACCCCCCGAAACCAAACGAGCUACCUAAGAGCAAUUUUCUGAAUGCACCCGUCUAUGUGGCAAAAUAGUGGGAAGACUUUUAGGUAGAGGUGAAAAGCCUAACGAGCUUGGUGAUAGCUGGUUGUCCAGAGAAAGAAUAUUAGUUCAACUAUAAACUUGCCCAAAGAAUUUUUAAUCCCCCUGCAAGUUUAACUGUUAUUCUAAAGAGGGACAGCUCUUUAGACAAAGGAUAAAACCUCUAUUAGAGAAUAAGAACCUAAUCUAACAUAGUUGGCCUAAAAGCAGCCACCAAUUAAGAAAGCGUUAAAGCUCAAACUUAACAACACCUCCCCUAAUACCUCAAUUAUAAACGAAUUCCUAUCACCCAACUGGACUAAUCUAUAAACUUAUAGAUGAAAUAAUGUUGGUAUGAGUAACAAGAAAGUAUCUUUCUCCUAGCACAAGCGUAUAUCAGCUCGAAUAACUCACUGAUAGUUAACUCAAAAUGAAUAGACACCCAUAAAUAAACAAACUUUUCUAUACAUAGAGUUAACCCAACACAGGAGUGCAUUAAGGAAAGAUGAAAAGAAGUAAAAGGAACUCGGCAAACACGAGCCCCGCCUGUUUACCAAAAACAUCACCUCUAGCAUAAAAAGUAUUAGAGGCACUGCCUGCCCGGUGACUUACGUUAAACGGCCGCGGUAUCCUGACCGUGCAAAGGUAGCAUAAUCAUUUGUUCCUUAAUUAGGGACUAGCAUGAAUGGCAAGACGAGGGUUCAACUGUCUCUUACUUCCCAUCAGUGAAAUUGACCUUCCAGUGAAGAGGCUGGAAUAAAACAAUAAGACGAGAAGACCCUAUGGAGCUUUAAUUUAUUAAUUCACCAGUCCUAAAACUUACCCCAAGGGGAUAACCAUUACUUAAGACUGCCUGAAUUAAUGAUUUUGGUUGGGGUGACCUCGGAGCACAAAAAAACCUCCGAAUGGAUAAAACAGAGACUUACCAGUCAAUAUUAUUAAUUCAACUUAUUGACCCAAAAACAAUUUGAUCAACGGACCAAGUUACCCUAGGGAUAACAGCGCUAUCCUAUUUAAGAGUCCAUAUCGACAAUAGGGUUUACGACCUCGAUGUUGGAUCAGGACAUCCCAAUGGUGCAGAAGCUAUUAAAGGUUCGUUUGUUCAACGAUUAAAGUCCUACGUGAUCUGAGUUCAGACCGGAGUAAUCCAGGUCGGUUUCUAUCUAUUAGCAAUUUUUCCCAGUACGAAAGGACCAGAAAAAUAGAGCCUCCUAAAUCACUAGCGCCCUUAGAAUAAUAGAUGAAAUAAUCUUAAUCUAGAAACUAUGCCCAACCCUUACCCAAGAUAAGGGUUC